Molecule: long non-coding RNA, 557 nt
Organism: Micropterus dolomieu (smallmouth bass)
Lineage: Eukaryota; Metazoa; Chordata; Actinopteri; Centrarchiformes; Centrarchidae
Exons: 3
Source: RefSeq, a predicted model, not a curated record
CUUACCGGCUGAUCCACAGGUUUGGCAGCUCCCUGAUGGACCGCAGCUGUGUGGUGGUGGUGGUGGAGGAGGAGGGGGGGGCACUGUCCGCCGACAACCGGUGGCUUCAGGUGGACAGCCUGAAACAAAUGUACCGAUGACCGAGCAGGAUCGGGGUGUAGAGGUUUUUGGAUGUCCGUCCGUCUGAGGUGGUGGUAGGUAACCCUGUGGAGUUGUUCCUCUCUCCUUGCUGCACCGGGCUCGACUGGUGACGCAAGAUAUCCACCAGUGAUCUGACACAGCAGAGGGUGGACGGAGAGAUGAGAGCAAGAGGAAAAGGAGUGGAUAAAGAGAAAGACGAAAGGUUAGACAGAGACAGAAAGAGAGAGUUACAGUCAGGAAUCCCAAGAGAACGGUCCUGUGGUCUCACCUGGGCAUGUUGAUGUCCCUGUUGCGGGGUCGGCGUGCCACCUUGCUGAAGGCAAUCCUGACGCCCACGGCCACCACCAGCGUGAAGGAGAUAACCCCUCCAAUCACAUAGGCCGUACUGUUGGAUGAAGAAUGAAUGAAUGAAUAUC